Molecule: non-coding RNA, 30 nt
Filed under: Bombyx mori (domestic silkworm)
Lineage: Eukaryota; Metazoa; Arthropoda; Insecta; Lepidoptera; Bombycidae
Also listed under: 3 other names
Source: RNAcentral
UCCCGGGUUCAGAUCCCGGACGAGCCCCCA